This 73-nucleotide transfer RNA is filed under the name Fusarium pseudograminearum CS3220. RNAcentral describes it as "tRNA-Met". It matches the Rfam family "tRNA". From Rfam's summary of the family: Transfer RNA (tRNA) molecules are approximately 80 nucleotides in length. Lineage: Eukaryota; Fungi; Ascomycota; Sordariomycetes; Hypocreales; Nectriaceae. RNAcentral also lists the same sequence under 3 other names. The record is from RNAcentral.
AAGCGGAUUGGUGUAAUAGUAACACAUUUGGCUCAUGUCCAGAGGUUAGAGGUGCAAGUCCUUUGUCCGCGUA